AAAUAAUAGACAUUAAUAUCUUGAGCUUCUGCAGAAUACAUACGCUUCAGGGAGUGCUACACAAGUACUGUCAUGGGCGGCUUUCCAGUCAUGCCCCAUGACCCCUUGGGCGCACCCCAUAGCAUCCAAGCCUCCCAAUACCUAGCGCUACGGACGGCCCCGUGAUCUUGACUGCACCAAGUGGCAAGCGUGCAUGUGCCUCUGCCGCCCCAUCGAUAUUCCUCGCCAGGGUCCAGCUGCAGGCAGAUGCCAAUAGCUCUGCGCGCGCCGAUCGUGAUGCCAAAGACACUACUGCUGACAAGGGACCUGUUUGUACUUAGCAAAAAGCUAAGUCCUUUUCAUUGUAAAUAUAGAGUAGUUUUAUUUCAUGUACUUCAAGUCUAGUCUUGUAGCUUUAUUCAAGUCCAGUCUUGUAGUAGUAGAUUAUUUUUUAAGCAUUAUUAGGGGGGUCAAGCAAUAAAACUUUCUAGCAAGCAAACAAUUUUCUGUACUAGUGUCUCUCCCCCUCGAUACUGCG
This 517-nucleotide long non-coding RNA is filed under the name Nicotiana benthamiana. Its description in RNAcentral is "long non-coding RNA (NBEN_LNC007858)". Lineage: Eukaryota; Viridiplantae; Streptophyta; Magnoliopsida; Solanales; Solanaceae. The record is from RNAcentral.